RNAcentral lists this ribosomal RNA (429 nucleotides) under Chloroflexota bacterium. Its description in RNAcentral is "Chloroflexi bacterium partial 16S ribosomal RNA". It matches the Rfam family "Bacterial small subunit ribosomal RNA", at positions 355 to 776 of the family's 1533-position model. Lineage: Bacteria; Bacillati; Chloroflexota. The record is from RNAcentral.
UGGGGAAUAUUGCACAAUGGGCGCAAGCCUGAUGCAGCCAUGCCGCGUGUGUGAAGAAGGCCUUCGGGUUGUAAAGCACUUUCAGCGGGGAGGAAGGCGAUAAGGUUAAUAACCUUGUCGAUUGACGUUACCCGCAGAAGAAGCACCGGCUAACUCCGUGCCAGCAGCCGCGGUAAUACGGAGGGUGCAAGCGUUAAUCGGAAUUACUGGGCGUAAAGCGCACGCAGGCGGUCUGUCAAGUCGGAUGUGAAAUCCCCGGGCUCAACCUGGGAACUGCAUUCGAAACUGGCAGGCUAGAGUCUUGUAGAGGGGGGUAGAAUUCCAGGUGUAGCGGUGAAAUGCGUAGAGAUCUGGAGGAAUACCGGUGGCGAAGGCGGCCCCCUGGACAAAGACUGACGCUCAGGUGCGAAAGCAUGGGGAGCAAACAGG